This 324-nucleotide ribosomal RNA is filed under the name uncultured Chloroflexota bacterium. Its description in RNAcentral is "bacterial SSU rRNA". It matches the Rfam family "Bacterial small subunit ribosomal RNA", at positions 29 to 351 of the family's 1533-position model. The record is from RNAcentral. Lineage: Bacteria; Bacillati; Chloroflexota.
AAUGAACGUUAGCGGCGCGCCUGAUGCAUGCAAGUCGAACGCCUGCGUUAUCCGCAAGGGUGACAAUGGAGUGGCGAACGGCUGAGUAACGCGUAAGUAACCUGUCUCAAAGUGGGGAAUAACUUGCCGAAAGGCAGGAUAAUUCCGCAUGUGCUGAUAAGCGAAUGUUUUUCAGUAAAGCUUUCGAGCGCUUUGAGAGGGGCUUGCGUCUGAUUAGCUAGUUGGUGGGGUAAUGGCCUACCAAGGCGAUGAUCAGUAGCUGGUCUUAGAGGACAACCAGCCAGACAGGGACUGAGACACGGCCCUGACUCCUACGGGAGGCUG